RNAcentral lists this ribosomal RNA (424 nucleotides) under uncultured bacterium. RNAcentral's name for it is "bacterial SSU rRNA". It matches the Rfam family "Bacterial small subunit ribosomal RNA", at positions 358 to 773 of the family's 1533-position model. The record is from RNAcentral.
GGAAUUGUUCGCAAUGGGCGAAAGCCUGACGACGCAAUGCCGCGUGGAGGCCGAAGACCUUCGGGUCGUAAACUCCUGUCGAGCGGGAAGAACCGCGUCCGGGUUAACACCCUGGGCGCCUGACGGUACCGCCAGCGGAAGCCCCGCCUACCCCCGUCCCAGCAGCCGCGGUAAUACGGGGGGGGCAAGCGUUGUUCGGAUUUACUGGGCGUAAAGGGCUCGUAGGCGGCUGCCUAAGUCGGUUGUGAAAUCCCCCGGCUCAACCGGGGAAUUGCGUCCGAUACUGGGUGGCUUGAAGCCGGGAGAGGGAUGCGGAAUUCCAGGUGUAGCGGUGAAAUGCGUAGAUAUCUGGAGGAACACCCGUGGCGAAGGCGGCAUCCUGGACCGGUCUUGACGCUGAGGAGCGAAAGCUAGGGUAGCAAAC